Non-coding RNA from Anas platyrhynchos (mallard), 2224 nucleotides. NCBI's taxonomy places the organism in Eukaryota, Metazoa, Chordata, Aves, Anseriformes, Anatidae. The record is from RefSeq and is a predicted model, not a curated record.
AUUAGGGGCUGGGGGGGCGGGGGUUCACUGGCUGCCCUGCAUCCUGCAUCUCCCCCUCCCAAGCUCAGAGACCCCACUCCGUGCCUCUGCUGGUACCCGUGGGGCUGCCACAGGCACCCCCCCAUCUCCCAUCUCACGCAGCAGCACAGACCCCAGCCCCAUCCUCCAGCAAGAGAUAUCCCCAAACCUUCCCAAACCACACACGCCUUGGCUCUCCACGUGGAUUAAACCAGCCCGGCAGGCGUUUUGCUAUGGUCUAGGGAAGAGCAGGAGGAGCAGCACCCCAAAGGCUGCAGGACAAACCCCGCACCCUGCUCGGGAAGCAGCAUCCUCCGAGGCUGUAAAAACAGCACAGAGGGGACGGAGUGGCCGCCCCCGUCCCCUGUCACUUACUUGAUGAAGUAGAAGCCCCCGUGCAGCGUGGUGUCCACCUCCCAGCCUCGGGGCAGCCCUGGAAGGACACAGCAGAAGCGGUGGUCAGCCUUCCUCGCCCCCACCUGCACAAGAGGGGAGCGUUGGGUCCCUCUCCCACCAGCGCUGGGUUUUGGAGGCUUCAAGGAGUCCUGCUGCAGAAGGGGGCUCUUAAGACCCCCCCCCGGGAACACCUCUCCAACCCCGCUGCAGGGGUUACGGGGGCUCGUGCAUCCCCAAGAGAUGCGGCAUCGCCUCGCGCCUCGUUUGAAGUCUCCCCCCAAAACCCAGCCCUGCUCUCCCAGCUGCUCGGGGGGCUCCAAGGCAUUUCUGGAGCUUUUCAUCACACGUCCCAAGAGAGGGUGGGGGGCACGCAGGGGGAGCCGGGGCCCGUCCCUUACCGGCGCAGGAGAAGUGCCCGCUCUGGACGGAGUAACCUGUGCUGGGGUGCACCCAGCUCGUGGACUUGGUCUCGUCGCUGUGAAAGACAAAGUGGGGGGCAGUGAGCACCCCGGGGGGCUCGGGGAAGGCCCUUUGGCAGGGCGAGGGCUUGGCAACACGAGAAACUUUUUUUUUUAUCCAGCCAAAGGAAAGGAAAGGAGCAGAUUUGAGGGAAAUUGGGGAGCGGCAUCCAGCAGGCAGCAGCCGGGACAGCAGCGAGCCCCGAGAAGGGAGGAACGGGGAGCAAGCCGAGAUGACCAUGAGUGACAGGAAAGCACCUGGACACCGAGCCUUGCAGCGGGCAGGACCCCUUGCUCCCAGCCUGGAUUAAGCCCCCCGGCCCCAGCAGCCCCCCAAAACCACGUGCCAAGCUGGGAGCGCAGCCCCCGCCCCCAGCCCCGUCCCCGUGGCACCCCCAGUCCCACCAGGCAGUCCCAUACUUGAUGAAGAAGAUGCGUCCGUCCCCGCAGACGCCGUAGGUCCACCUUCCCGGCAGGUCCAGCCACUCGAUGUCAUCGGCCAUGGGGGCCAGCAGGCGUGGGGCAGCCCCGUCCUCUGCUCCCCGUGCGGCUCGGGGAGUGCGAGCCAGCUCCCGGUCCCCAACCCUCCUCCUCUUCCUCCUCCAGCAAACACUUGCUCAGCUCAACCCUUCCACCCCGGGCUCUGUUUGCUGCAAAUAACCAAGGAGGGAAGAAGGAAAAAAAAAAAAAAAAAAAAAGGGAAAGAAAACCAAACCCAUCAAGUUAACCCCCUCGGAGCCAGGCUGCCACCUCGCCCGCCAGCCGGGGUUCAGAGGGCACCUGGGCGGCAGCGGCGCAGGCUCCCCGGCUGCCUCUGCGGGGCUAGCCCAUCGCAGCUUCCUCCCCUGCCUACUCAGUGUAAUUACCGUCAAUUAACUCCGGGUGAGUAAUUAUGGAGUUGUUCCUUCCCUCUCCUGUUCGUCUUAAACAAUGUCAAAUUCUUCUCGCCGUCUGAUCUCGCAGCCAAGCAGAGGCAGUAUGUAGGGCACCCUGAUGAUUAUCUGCAGCGCUCGCGGAGCUGCCCAGUGGGUAUUUUCUCUCUGCCUGUUCUUAGCCAUCAAUUAAACGUCUUUCAAGGGGAAAGGUGGGGUCUGGGAGGCACCUGGGCUGGGUGACUGUGAAGGAGGCAAUUGCCCUCGUGCCUCAGCGGCGCCUUGUCCGAGUUUCUCAUGGCACAAGCAGGAAGGAAGGCGCUCGCUCGGGAGGGGACGGAGAGGAAAAGGCAGGAGCCGGUCCCCGAAGGGGAUUCUUCUGCUGAGCUUAAGCACAGCCCUCACUUCAGAGCUGUUCCCUGCCAGGAUUUGGGAAACCACAUCACCCAAAGCCUUGGGAAGGAUUUUCUUAUAAUUCUU